Nylanderia fulva is the source of this 463-nucleotide non-coding RNA. NCBI's taxonomy places the organism in Eukaryota, Metazoa, Arthropoda, Insecta, Hymenoptera, Formicidae. The record is from RefSeq and is a predicted model, not a curated record.
CAAUAGUACUAAAAUUUAAAUAUGUACACGUUAUAUAUAUAUAUAUAGUAAAGUUCUAUGAUGAUACUUAUUAUGUGCGCAAAUCUAAUCAAAUUACGAUUUAAAAGUGUUACAAAAGCUACAUAUAGUGAUAAAUGAAGCUACCCAGCAACCAUUUUAGCGAAAAAUGUAAAGUUCUAUGAUGAUAUUUAUCAUGUGUGCACAUCUAACCAAAUUACGAUUAAAAAAAAUGUUACAAAAGCUACAUAUAGUGAUAAACGAAGCUACCCAGCAAUCAUUUUAGUGAAAAAUGAUAAUAAAUAUAUAUUGCAAGAUAUUAAAAAAAAUAUUAUAACAAAUAAACCACAUAUAUUACGCAAAAGAACUGAUUUCCCAAAAUUUAGUGAUAUUAAUUCGAUAAGUCUAAUAGAUAAAAACAAAGGCAAUGAGUCUGUGAUACUAAACAAGGAGUGUAUUACCAAAA